This is a non-coding RNA of Gasterosteus aculeatus aculeatus (three-spined stickleback), 1425 nucleotides long. NCBI's taxonomy places the organism in Eukaryota, Metazoa, Chordata, Actinopteri, Perciformes, Gasterosteidae. The record is from RefSeq and is a predicted model, not a curated record.
CCUGGAGAGGAGAACGUUUAUUAACAGAAACAGCCAUUUCCAUCAGUUUCUGUCCCCCAUGUUCCAUUUACAAUUUCCUCUCUCCGAUAUCACGUUACCAAAUUACCUCCAUGGCCUUUACACUGUUUCACAGGGCUCAGAGUCAGCGGAUGAGCAGAACAUGCAGUUGUAGAGUGAAGAAACAAAAUCGUAAAAGCAUUCCAAGUAGCCAUAAACUGCCUUUCAGCGUGAGCCUGAGCUGGGAGCGCGGGGGAGGGCCAUCGCUGCUGUUGCGCAAUAGUGGAGCGGGUUGAUGACGGGCAGAGAACAGGAAGUCAGGUAGGGUGUGUGGUUUAAACAGGGACGGGCUGACGAAAAAGGACAAGUGGAAAGAAGGAGGACUUGAAGGCAGCGCAUAGCCCGGAGAUUUCUGGAAAUCGCCAGACCUCUUGUGGGAAACUUUACGGCUGACUGUAUCAGUCUGUUGGGUGAAACACAUCGGGCCUCCAUUCGAUCGAAUACUAGUUUCACUUUUUUUUGUUAAUAAUAAACCUCCUUUGAUUUUAAUACAACCAUCUAUUUACUUUUGGGCCAGAGGGAUCUGCUUCACGAAGAGGUCCAACACGCGACAGUGGCUGGCUGAACGCUCUCAACAGAUGUUGGUACUCCACGGUGUUUUCCUUUUGGACUCCGUCAGAGGAGCCCAACUGCUCGCUGGUCCCAGAGCCGUCACCGCUGAUCCGAAGCAAGGAUUCAACACCUGCAAGAGCGGUUGUGAGAUAUAUAAACAGUGACAUUAUUUCUACAAGACUGAUGUUAUUACGUAGAAUUCUGGAUCGGAAUUUAAAAAAACAACUUUAACAGGAAAAGAUCGAAUUGAAAGGGAGGUGAACAAAGGAAUAAUUAUUCCAGUAAUGUCUACGUUCUUGACUGUGCAAAUGUCUGAACCCUGUCAUACAGUUUGCCAUGUUUCUGUUGCUGCCAUUCAAAAGGAUGGCAUGCAGGUCUGUCCUUAGUUGUACCUUCAUUGAGCUGGUCCAGGAGCAUUUCAAUGAACUCAACACGCUGUCGAUAACCUGCCAGAUGUUGCUCAGCUGUCUCUUGCUCGACGGAAGCUUUCUUCCAAAGUGCGUCACGCUGCUCCUCAGCCACAAAGGCCUUUCAGUCAGAGACAUAAUGAAAAACAAACACCAGUCACAAUAACAUUUUCCUCUUCUUUAUCUCCCUCUCUUCUCCAACCAACACACCAACCUGGGAGAUCUUCCUCUGCAUGGCCUCUUCUUCAGUGUGUUGAUAGUUGACAAAAUUCAGCAGCCUGUAUUUCUGCUCCUCCACUAAUGGAAAUCAUGUUUGAUUUUGAUUGCCAAUGACAAUGCCAAACUGCCGUCGCCUCACUGGUUUUCAAUUGGGACUUACUAUCUAUAAAGUUCCUGACCAGUUCUUCCA